GGGGAUGCAGCUCAAUGAGAGAGUGUGUGCCUAGUGUGCAUGAGGCCCUGGGUUCAAUCCCCAGUACCACA
RNAcentral lists this transfer RNA (71 nucleotides) under Marmota monax (woodchuck). Its description in RNAcentral is "tRNA.Thr". The stretch from base 9 to 64 matches the Rfam family "tRNA", at positions 9 to 63 of the family's 71-position model. Rfam says of the family: Transfer RNA (tRNA) molecules are approximately 80 nucleotides in length. The record is from RNAcentral. Lineage: Eukaryota; Metazoa; Chordata; Mammalia; Rodentia; Sciuridae.